RNAcentral lists this long non-coding RNA (593 nucleotides) under Setaria viridis. RNAcentral describes it as "long non-coding RNA (SVIR_LNC010430)". The record is from RNAcentral. Lineage: Eukaryota; Viridiplantae; Streptophyta; Magnoliopsida; Poales; Poaceae.
CCCACGUAGCUCCGCCUAUGUUCACCGCAUCAGGAUCCCACACAUAUCGUGGUUCGAAGGUGCGUGCAAGAGAAGAUAUCGAAGAAAGCUCAAUCUCUAUUCAUUUUUCCAACUAGUAAAGUGCACGUGCGGCACGCACGUAUUUUUAAAAAAAUUUAGUAAAAAUGCUUAACUCGUAACACAAUUUUAUUUCAUCCACUUUAGGAAGCUUAAUUUGAAAAAGUUCAUCCAAAUAUAAAGUAUAAGGUUCAUUUAAUGGCUUUUCAAAGGCUUGUGUAUUAGUUUUUUAAAACGAAUUAUAACUUCCAUUAAGCAACAAUCGAUCCAGGCAUAUCACCAGUUACUAAUUCGUAUAUAAACUCCAGGGCUUUGUUCAGUACCAUCUCAAAAUCAGAGUAUCUAUUGCCACAAAACCCCAACCCUAUCCAUCUCCUUGGGAGAAAAAAAGCUGCAUCAAUAUUGAUCUGUUAUGUUCCCUCAUCCAGUGGACUCCAUUUAGCUUGGGUCUAAGUCUGUUUUCUCUCGCAAUCAGACUUCGUUCCAAAUUCUAGUAGGUGAUAUGUUACUGAGGAACUCCACAAAUUCUCUCCCCA